Saimiri boliviensis boliviensis (Bolivian squirrel monkey) is the source of this 1634-nucleotide non-coding RNA. The record is from RefSeq and is a predicted model, not a curated record. Lineage: Eukaryota; Metazoa; Chordata; Mammalia; Primates; Cebidae.
UCAGGUGAUCCACCCGCCUCGAACCCCCAAUUUUUUCACCUUUGGUGCCUGGCAGUUUUGAGCAGCACUGCUCAGGUGUUAAAGGGCACCCCUGGGUGGCUCUGUCAGCCACAAGCCUCAUAGUUGGGCUGGGCGAUGGGUGGUGGGCUUGGGAGGAAGAGCAUGGGCAACACGCCUCCCCCCGCACACGUCAGGGACACGGAGUCAGCGGGAGCACCGCAGGCGGCGUUGGCCUUGACUGAGGCUGAGGUGUCCCUGUCGGGCCUCUCCACUGCGGAGCCGCUUCCUCCUCGGGAAGCCUGGGCCCCUUGCUGGGGAGCCCCUUCUGGACCCGUGUGCUGGGAAGUGCUGCGCCAGCUGCAGCCUGGCACACAGCAGGUGCCUAAUUCGCCCUCUCUGAAUUGAACGGAGCGAGGCUGUGGCCUCGUUAGGAAGGACGUUCUCCCUGCACCCAGCUCCCUCCUGGCUCAUGGUCUCAUUAAGCCCCGAUGCUCCCUCGGGCCAGCGCUCCUCUGCUCAGCUCACUCCCGACGUGAGGACUUCCCGCCAGGCCCUGCUGGCUCCAGCUUCUGCCCACCCAGAAGGGGCACACUGGGGAGCUGAGGCCCCCCGCGAGGGCUCCCAGCCAGAAGGCAUCCGGCUCCCCCACCAGUGUCCUUUCUACCCACCACAGAAGCAUCAAAAGCACACGGCACAGACAAGUCUACCCACGGCUCUGCCGCCUCCUCCCCGCCACACCCGGCAUGUCUAGCAGAAAGGAUUCCUCUCAGUUUUGCAAGGAAGAAAUGGAGGCAACGGGGUGAGGACAUUUCCCCAGGCAGUAUAACCGGGAAGAGAGAGUAGGCUGCGCCCCGGAGGCCUGGCACCUGAAGCCUUUCCCACUGCUCUGCCUGGAAGCAGGAAGCCCCCUGGACUUUGGUUUCCCUCCGUGGCCUGGCGUGUGAGCCCUCGAGGGAGGGACAAGCCCGCCUGGAGCCUCGAGCCACAGCCAACCCUGCAAACCCUCUCUACCCGCCAUGGGCGAGCCUCUGUCACUCCGAGAUGGGACAGGCCUGGCUCAGGCCAGCCGGGUGUAGUGGAGACGCUCACCAAGCACACGCCCCUCAGGGGACGCAGCAGCAAGGCAACAUGGUCAGGAUGGAGAACCGAGCACACCUCUCCCUGGGAUUCCAGGUCAGGUCCAAGGGAGCAGGGGCUGGACGUGCCCAGUCACAAGACUGGCAGAAAGGAGAAUGUAGGAGGCAAGAGGGGCGUGGACUCAGCUCCUCCUCCCUGGAAACCGUUCCAGGGGACUCACGAAGGGAACGGCCUCCCUCCCACCAUGGUGAUGCCCUCCAGCUCCCCACACAGGGUGGUCCCAGCUCCAUCCUCCAGGAGCCCCCCCAUGCCUUUUCCUGAACAGAACUCUCGGAAACAGCAGUGUGUUCAUGGUGGAGCCGAUCCCUGUGUCUGUGCUGGAGUCACUGUGCCUCGGUUUCCCCAUCUGUGACCCAGCCCAGACCAACAAAGACAGACGCACCACAGGCACCAAAGUCUCCCAGGCAUUGGUCUGGGUUUGGGCCAAGGAGGAGUCAAAAGAGGCGGUUCAAUCACAAGAUCAGGAGUUCGAGACCAGCCUGGCCAACAUAGUGAAA